RNAcentral lists this ribosomal RNA (445 nucleotides) under uncultured bacterium. RNAcentral describes it as "partial 16S ribosomal RNA". It matches the Rfam family "Bacterial small subunit ribosomal RNA", at positions 354 to 796 of the family's 1533-position model. The record is from RNAcentral.
GUGAGGAAUAUUGGUCAAUGGGCGGAAGCCUGAACCAGCCAAGUAGCGUGCAGGAUGACGGCCCUAUGGGUUGUAAACUGCUUUUAUACAGGAAUAAAGUUAGUCACGUGUGGUUAUUUGUAGGUACUGUAUGAAUAAGGACCGGCUAAUUCCGUGCCAGCAGCCGCGGUAAUACGGAAGGUCCAGGCGUUAUCCGGAUUUAUUGGGUUUAAAGGGAGCGUAGGCCGUCUGUUAAGCGUGUUGUGAAAUGUAGAUGCUCAACAUCUGAAUUGCAGCGCGAACUGGCAGACUUGAGUGUGCGCAACGUAGGCGGAAUUCGUGGUGUAGCGGUGAAAUGCUUAGAUAUCACGAAGAACUCCGAUUGCGAAGGCAGCUUACGGGAGCACAACUGACGCUGAAGCUCGAAAGUGCGGGUAUCGAACAGGAUUAGAAACCCGUGUAGUCC